UGCUCCUCUCUUCUACUGUCUAAAAUACUCCUGAGUUUCUCUUGAACUCUCAAAUAUUUUCUAAUGGAUUUGAGUUCCUCCUGCUGACUUUAUGGCUGUUUACUUACUUUUGCUUGUUCUACUCUUCUAAAAAUUGCAACUGGUAUGUCCUUCUAGUUAAAUAAUACCCUCCAACUAUGUGUUUACUUUUCCUCUUCCGUUAUGCUUUCUUGCACUAUGUAUAUAUGUCCUAGUCUGUUAUGCUUCUUCUUUUAUGCUUCUGCACCUGUAAUCUGUCAUGCUUUAUUUCAUUCUUUGAGUUUACGUAAAUAUUUUCUAUGUGAGUCCCCUUCCCUUUGACCCCUUGUAUGAGAGUAUAGUUCUGGGUCAUGGUAGCAUCCUAUUGCUAUCCAUGACUCAAAACCAGGUUCUCUUGAACCUCUACUCAAGUCAAUUCCCCAUUCCCUUCUUCCCUUUUAUGUGCUGAGCCCUGACUCAAGUCUGGAGGUGUCCUAAUCACCACCUAGGCCCAAGUCCGACUCAUAAAGUCUGCUAUUUAUUUCUUUGGACCAAGCUGAGGGCCAGGGGUGUGCCAGUCUAUACCCAUGGCUGGGUAUGACCACCUUUUGCUAUGGUUCCCUAAUCCCUCUCACUUUGCACUCAUUCCUAGUUCUAAGUUCUGCCCCCUUUGGUAACCAUGCUUUGGGACCCUUGAGCUCCCUCUGAACUUGGAUGCCUGAGGGCUGGCAAUUCUACACUGCACUAUUCUGUUACAACAAUUGUUAUCCAGAGUGUAUGCACUGCCUGGGGUCCUUGAGGCUCCUUGAAACUUUGAAAUACAUUGGGUAAGAGAAGGCCUUGGAAAUAUGGAAUCUGGAUUUGGUAAAAUACAUGUUAUUGGAUAUUAAGAUUCAAUUAGGGUGCUUAGAUCUAGCUGUAGGCUGUGAUGUAUUUUUAGUUGUUUUCUUUCUUUCUUCUGAUUAUGUGAUUAUCUUGUAAAAAAGAACUCGGGG
This 992-nucleotide long non-coding RNA is filed under the name Nicotiana benthamiana. Its description in RNAcentral is "long non-coding RNA (NBEN_LNC008496)". The record is from RNAcentral. Lineage: Eukaryota; Viridiplantae; Streptophyta; Magnoliopsida; Solanales; Solanaceae.